Molecule: ribosomal RNA, 519 nt
Filed under: uncultured eukaryote
Lineage: Eukaryota
Description: SSU rRNA
Rfam family: Eukaryotic small subunit ribosomal RNA
Source: RNAcentral
AGGGCACCACCAGGAGUGGAGCCUGCGGCUUAAUUUGACUCAACACGGGAAAACUCACCCGGCCCGGACACUGGAAGGAUUGACAGAUUGAGAGUUCUUUCUUGAUUCAGUGGGUGGUGGUGCAUGGCCGUUCUUAGUUGGUGGAGUGAUUUGUCUGGUUAAUUCUGAUAACGAACGAGACUCUAGCCUAUUAAAUAGAUCGUUGGCUUACAAACGCCGGCGAGACUUCUUAGAGGGACAGGCGGCGAUUCAGCCGCACGAAACAGAGCAAUAACAGGUCUGUGAUGCCCUUAGAUGUCCGGGGCCGCACGCGCGCUACACUGAAGUGAUCAGCGUGCAUUUUGAAACCUACUCUGUCAAGAGUGGGGAACCCAAUGAACCUUCUUCGUGAUUGGGAUAGGGGAUUGUAAUUAUUCCCCUUGAACGAGGAAUUCCCAGUAAGCGCGAAUCAUAAGUUUGCGCUGAUUACGUCCCUGCCCUUUGUACACACCGCCCGUCGCUACUACCGAUUGAAUGUUU